RNAcentral lists this long non-coding RNA (481 nucleotides) under Coturnix japonica (Japanese quail). RNAcentral's name for it is "lncRNA (ENSCJPG00005014660.1)". The record is from RNAcentral. Lineage: Eukaryota; Metazoa; Chordata; Aves; Galliformes; Phasianidae.
AUCUUCAUAUUCAUGGAUUUCCUUUAUUUUCAUCAUCUAUUUAAAACAGGAAAAAAGAUAAUUAGGGAUGCCUUAAGGAGAAAGAAAAACAGCACAGUCAAUUAAGGACCAGUCUAACCAUCUCAUCAUUGGCAAUUGCCAACUGUAAAGCAAAUCAGCUUUUUUAAAAAGAUGAAAGCAGACUAUGGACAUGAUAUUUAUAAUACUCAAGAGUGCAGUGGGCAGCAACGUGAGAUAAUUUCAUAUGAUUAUGAGUAAAUACUGACAACAUUUUUCUCCAGUGUCUCUUGUGGAAGCGUGUUUUGCCCUCUGUCUUGUCUUUCAUGUGCAGCCUUCAGCUUACAAACCCUUUGUUUUGGGCUUGAACUCCAGAAUUUUUAAAAUCCUUUUAGCUCCAUGUUGGUUUUUGAUCUCCCACGAGGUUGGUGCCACAUUUGUUGUAGUGCCCAAUGAGUCUGAGAGCAACAGGAGUGCUGUGGCA